UACGAAGGGGGCUAGCGUUGUUCGGAUUUACUGGGCGUAAAGCGCACGUAGGCGGUUUGUUAAGUCAGAGGUGAAAUCCUGGAGCUCAACUCCAGAGCUGCCUUUGAUACUGGCAAGCUCGAGUCCGGAAGAGGUAAGUGGAACUCCUAGUGUAGAGGUGGAAUUCGUAGAUAUUAGGAAGAACACCGGUGGCGAAGGCGGCCUGCUGGGCAGUGGCUGACACUGAGGCGCGACAGCGUGGGGAGCAAACAGGG
RNAcentral lists this ribosomal RNA (254 nucleotides) under uncultured bacterium. RNAcentral describes it as "partial 16S ribosomal RNA". It matches the Rfam family "Bacterial small subunit ribosomal RNA", at positions 524 to 777 of the family's 1533-position model. The record is from RNAcentral.